CCUACGGGGGGCAGCAGUGAGGAAUAUUGGUCAAUGGACGAGAGUCUGAACCAGCCAAGUAGCGUGAAGGAUGACUGCCCUAUGGGUUGUAAACUUCUUUUAUAUGGGAAUAAAAUGUUCCACGUGUGGGAUUUUGUAUGUACCAUAUGAAUAAGGAUCGGCUAACUCCGUGCCAGCAGCCGCGGUAAUACGGAGGAUCCGAGCGUUAUCCGGAUUUAUUGGGUUUAAAGGGAGCGUAGGUGGUUUGUUAAGUCAGUUGUGAAAGUUUGCGGCUCAACCGUAAAAUUGCAGUUGAAACUGGCAGUCUUGAGUACAGUAGAGGUGGGCGGAAUUCGUGGUGUAGCGGUGAAAUGCUUAGAUAUCACGAAGAACUCCGAUUGCGAAGGCAGUUCACUGGACUGCAACUGACACUGAGGCUCGAAAGUGUGGGUAUCAAACAGGAUUAGAUACCCUUGUAGUC
RNAcentral lists this ribosomal RNA (460 nucleotides) under uncultured bacterium. RNAcentral's name for it is "partial 16S ribosomal RNA". It matches the Rfam family "Bacterial small subunit ribosomal RNA", at positions 338 to 795 of the family's 1533-position model. The record is from RNAcentral.